AGGAAAUGUACAAACUUAUUCUAUUUAAGUGAAAAUUGGAUCAUCUUUUUAUUUUUAUUCUAUCUUUCUUUCUCUCUUAAUCUUUGUAUUUGUAAUAGGCCAAUUUUAUCCGGCCCAAUAAACAAAACAACACAAAAAAGAAAAAGAAAAAAAAUAACACGUUCAUUUACAAAAAAAUCUAUUGGCCCAAAUACAUUACCCAAUUUACCCUAACCCAAAUCUGCUAACCUAAAAACCCUAAAAGCCCAAGCCUAAAAACUUAAACUAAUCAAGAAAAACCCUAGUCGCCGCGGCUCCUUACCAUGUCAACGGACACGACACCCGAGGACUAUCCCUCCCUGCCAUCGUUUCAUCAAAAUGGCAAGGCGCGACCUUCCCAACGCCGUUAACCUUGCCACAAACUCCUACAAAAGAAAAGAACAAAAGAAGACAGAAGCAGAAAAGAAGAAAUAGCAAAAGAGAGUAUUUUGUAAUAUUUUUUGCUAUAAAAGCCAUAACGAUCAUGUGUAUUUUUUUACGAAGAAAUCGAAACAGAAUACAAAAAAAAAUAAACAGAUUCAAAAAGGUAGUUCAUUUUGUUCGUUAUUUAUUUUCUCUUCUCAAAAAAUAUAAAAGAAAUUAAAUAAAAAUAGAAAGUUCAAAUCUUUUACCUGAUUCGUCGCGUCGUCACCGUAGAUGGGUAAGACCAUCGUCCCCGAGGAAGAGCGACCCCUUUUCGACGUGAAAGGCCCUUGGGUUCCUUUGAACCUGCCUGGGCUUCGCCAGAAAAGUGGGCACGAGGGGUGUGCGUUCAAAAAAGAGCGACCGAAAGUUGUUAUUUAUUUAUUAUUUUCUAAAUUUAGAAGGCAUUGCCUUCAGAUCUGGGUCCUAUAGGUGCAAAAAAGGGAAAUUUUUUUAACUCCGGCCACCGGAGGAGGUCCGUCGUCCUUUAUGGUCGUAUAUAGAGAAAGUGUUAAGA
RNAcentral lists this long non-coding RNA (958 nucleotides) under Gossypium raimondii (Peruvian cotton). Its description in RNAcentral is "long non-coding RNA (GRAI_LNC000059)". The record is from RNAcentral. Lineage: Eukaryota; Viridiplantae; Streptophyta; Magnoliopsida; Malvales; Malvaceae.